AUGCCAGAGGCCUUGGGUAGAAUUUACACAGAAUGUCAACGCUGGAGGGGACCCAAGAGAGGAGCCAGGCCGAUCCUAGCCGCCCCUGUCAGGAAAACGGAGACUCUGACAGGGAAGUCCCAUGUUCAAGGUCACAGAGAUCUAGUGAACUGUGAGCAAGCAGGGCUGGGAAGGACACAGGCCCCGAGAGGCCAGGCUGACAGAGAGAGAAGAGACGGGGAGAAGAGAGAGGACAGGCAGACAGGGAGAGACAGAGACAGAGGGAGGGAAGAGGGGAGAGAAGAGAGGAGAGACAGACAGAGGGAGAGACAGACAGACAGAGAGGUAGAGAAAAGAGGGGAGAGGAGAGACAGACAGAGGGAGAGAAAAGAGGGGAGAGAAGAGAGGAGAGACAGACAGGGAGAGACAGAGACAGAGGGAGAGAAAAGAGGAAGAGAGACACACCCAGGGAGAGACACAUAGAGACAGAGAUAGAGACACACAGAGGGAGAAAGAGACAGAGACACAGACAGAGAGACAGACACAGGAAGCCUGGCCUUUGGCAGGUGCUUAAUUCUCACACAGAAGUCUGGCCACAGACUAGGGCAGAGCAAACUGGCCCCCCACAGGAAGUCUAACCUCAGGCUUAUUAACCCCCAUUAGGAAGCUAUGGAGCCAAAGGAAAGUCCCCAGGCUAGAGCCCAGAAUGCACUGCAGACCCCCAGAAGGCCAUGAUAGCAGCUAGAGUUGGGGGGUGUCUUAGAACUGGGGGGUCAGGGCUAGGAGGCGCCUGAGAGACAAUCGGGCGCAAUUCCUCAGAUGUGGGGGGGCAACGUGAACCCCAGGCUGAGUGGGCAGGAGGGUGACUUCUGCCACAUCCUCUGGCCUGUCCACCUGCUGUCACUCAGGCUUGGUUUUGCCCUUCGAGGCCCCCCAAGAGGAGGAAGGCAGGGCGAUGCUGCGCUCCUCACGGGGCACAAGGCACCGCUUCUCUCUUAGCUCACUGUUCCCGUCCUCUCACGCCAGGCAGGAUAAGGAGCUCCCUCCAGGGGGCCUUGGGUGCAGGCCUGCCUCCUAGGAGAGAGGAUUCUUCCCAGAAGGGCUGGGCCUACCAGGAGCCCCGGAAGGCAGGCAGGCAGGAGGGCAGGCGGGGAUUCAGCCCUGAAUUGCUUCAGAACUGGAGGGGCCCGAGUAGCCAAGGAGCCCAACUCCUCACUGACAAGCCCGGGAACCUCGGACCCAGACAUCAGGGGUCCAGCCUCGGGACGCCCCGGCUAGUCUGAAGCGGGAUUUGAACACCAGCCAGCACCAGCGCAGCUAGUUUCUGGGACCUCGACUUAAAGAAGGCCUGAAUGCCAUGGCAUGAUGGGAGGAGAUGGGAAAGAAGACCCUUGUCUUUGCAGAGGUGACGAACAUAUAUAACAACAGACUCUGGGCUGGUCUGGGGCUCUGCAGAACUUUUUUACUCUGCUUUAAAAGUAGUAUUUAUAAAUUAGAAAUUGAUAUGUUGUGAAAUAAAUGAUAUGUCAGAAAAGCA
This 1516-nucleotide long non-coding RNA is filed under the name Monodelphis domestica (gray short-tailed opossum). RNAcentral describes it as "lncRNA (ENSMODG00000039884.1)". Lineage: Eukaryota; Metazoa; Chordata; Mammalia; Didelphimorphia; Didelphidae. The record is from RNAcentral.